This 559-nucleotide long non-coding RNA is filed under the name Mytilus galloprovincialis (Mediterranean mussel). Lineage: Eukaryota; Metazoa; Mollusca; Bivalvia; Mytilida; Mytilidae. The record is from RNAcentral.
GGCCCGUACAAGUGUUUCUUAUCAAAAACCACAAUUAUCGUCCUUGAGGUCAAAGUUCAAGGUCACAUGAAGGUCAAAAAUUUAAGGAGGCACCCCACCUCAUGAUGAUACAUGUACAUCCACAUGCCAAAGAUGUAAGGCCUAGGUCAAAAGGCAAAGAAGUUAUGGCCUACAUGGUUGUGUUUUUCACGGAAAAAAAACCCAUAAAGUUGACCUUGAGGUCACAUUGGAAGGUCAUACAAAGGUCAUCAUGAUGCAAGACACUUAACCCUGUGAUGAUACAUCCACAUGCCAAAUAGCUAAGGCCUAGUUCUAAAGACGAACAAAAAUAUGGCCAUUAUGUCUUUUUUGAAUAGAUUUUGCUCUUAUUUAAUGAACCAAUUUGAGGGUGGGGCGUAAUUUAAACUUAAAUACCAAAAAAUCUAACGGUUCAAAUUUAAAAAAAAUUUGCAAGAACAAUCGACUAGUAUAGCACUCCAAAUGCUUAGUUUUAUGAAAAAAUUAAACGACACAUUUUUUUCAAAAAAAAAAAAAAUCUUCUUCAAAUACUAGAAGCACA